Oreochromis aureus is the source of this 1235-nucleotide long non-coding RNA. Lineage: Eukaryota; Metazoa; Chordata; Actinopteri; Cichliformes; Cichlidae. The record is from Ensembl.
CAAACUCCAGAGUUCUGUUAUCGGAGCAUUUUACUAUUACAGCAGCUGUAUCAUAUGGACAUUUAAGCUACUUUAAAGAAAAUUAACAAGUAUUAAUGCAAUAAUAAUUAUUUUUAAAUAAAAGUGUAGCUACUUCUUAAUUUGGAAGAACAGAUUCAAGCAGUUUACGUAACAAAAUCCUUGAAACUCUUUUAGAGAGCCUUGAAAUCCAGGAUGGAUACUCACAUUCAGUCCAGACGAUAAUCACGGCCCAGAACAGCAACACUGUGACACUGCAGAGUCCUGCCAUAAUCACAGGUUUGUAGACACGAGAGGAUCACCACAGAGUCCAGACAAUCCAACAGACGGGAUAGACAUGACUAGGGGAUAGGACAGGGAGAAAAGGCAAGUUUAAUAAUAAUAAUAAUAAUAAUAAUGUAUACUUUAUUGUUCCCCGUGGGGAAAUUACUCCUCUGCAUUUAACCCAUUCACAGUGAAGCAGUGGGCAGCCACCAAUCCAGCGCCCGGGAGCAGUGUGUAGGGACGGUACCUUGCUCAGGGGUACCUGAGGGUAGCCAUUCAGUGGAUUUGAACCCCCGACCUUCCGAUCAUGGGGCUUUUAAACUGAGUGUGGAUCCUUUUUAAUCCAGAGGACUUGGCGUCCAUGUUUUCCAAAAAGAAUUAAACAUGUGAGUGUGUCUGACCUCAGAACAGUUUUCCACGUUGCCUCAGCUGAUUUUAAAUGAGUGUUGUCCCAAUUAGACAGCAUCAAGUUCUUUGUAUGACACAGCUUUAACCUGCUUUUGAGCACAGCUGUGUUCAGAUAUUGACUCCUGAGCCUGUGCAGUGACUUCAAUGACAGAAUUGUGCCUGUUUUUAAUGCAGCGCCCCCCGAGGACCCAAAGAUCACAGCAUGCAGCACUGACUGUCAGGCCUGUCUCCUGCACACAGAGAUUUCUCCACAUUUAAUGAAUCUUUUGUGGAUAUUUUUUCCUGUAGAUGCUGAGAGCUUCUUCCCAGUUUUAUGCUGAGAAAUAUUACUUGGAAACUGGUGCAGCUUUUUGCACAGCGGUGAAACUUUAUCCUUCAUUUGCUGGAGACAUUUUCCAAGUUGGGCCAAUUAUUCAUAAAGUGCUCCUCAAUCUGUUUCGUUUUUACUUUUCCAUCAAUUUGUUGAACCUGUCAGAAGUUUGUUGUUUCUGUCAUCUAAUUCAACAUUUUUCAUUAAAUAUUAAAAUAUCUCCGAUCAGACAUUU